CUCAAUCUGUGGGUUGUCUCUUCACUCUGUUGGUUAUUUCACUUGCUGUGCAAAAGCUUUUUAAUAAGAUAAGGUCCCAGUUGUUGAUUCUUUGUAGUAUUUCCCAUGUGGUCUGGGUUUUGUUCAUGAAGUCUUUGUCUACUCCUGUGUUCUCAAGCGAUCUACCUAUUCUCUCUUCCAGAAGAUUUAGUGUUUCUGUUUUAAUAUUUAGAUCUUUCAUCCAUUUUGAUUUUAGGUUAGUGGAUGGUGAAAUACAUGGGCCUAGUUUCAAUCUUUGGGAUGUGGAAAAUCAAUUUUUCCAGUACCAUUUAUUAAGGAAGGUGUUUGGCUCCUUUGUCAAAGAGAAGGUGGUUGAGUAUGUCUGGAGUUGUUUCUGGAUCCUCUAGUCUGUUCCAUUGAUCCUCAGGUCUGUUCUUUUGCCAGUACCAUGCUGUUUUUAUCACUAGUUUUGUAGUAUAAUUUAAAGUCAGGGAUUGUGAUACCCUUGUUGCCUUUGUUGCCUAGAAUUGCCUUUGCUAUUCUAGGUCUCUUCUGGUUCCAAAUGAAUUUUAGGAUUGUUUUUUCUAAUACUGUGAGAUAUUCUGUUGGGAUUUUGAUUGGGAUUUUGAUUGGGAUUGCAUUGAAUCUGUAUAACAGUUUUGGAAGUAUGGCCAUUUUCACCAUAUUGGCUUUCCCUAUCAAAGAACAGGGGAUAUCUUUCCAGUUUCUGAUAUCCUCUUCAAUCUCCUUUUUCAGAGUACUAUAGUUUUCAAUGUAACGAUCUUUUACUUCCUUCAUUAGAUUAAUUCCUAGGUAUUUCAUUUUUUUGGAUGCUAUUGUGAAAGGGUUUGUUUCUCUAAUUUCUCUCUCUGUGAAUGUGUUAUUCAUGUACAGGAAGGCUAUUGACUUUUGAGUGUUGACUUUGUAUCCAGCUAUGCCACUGAAUUUGGUUAUCAAAUCUAAGUCUUUUAGUGGAGUUUUUGGGGUCUUCUAUAUAGAGUAUCAUGUCUUCCACAAAUAAUGAUAAUUUAACUGCUUCCUUUCCUAUCCUUAUUCCUUUUAUUUCUUUCUCUUAUUUAAUUGCUGCGGCUAAUGUUUCCAGAACUAUAUUGAACAAGAGUGGUGACAGUGGACGUCCUUGUCUUGUUCCUGAUUUUAGAGUGAAAGCUUUCAGUUUUUGUCCAUUUAAUAUGUUGGCUGUUGGUUUGUCAUAGAUAGCUUUAUCAGAUUGAGAUAAAGACCAUCCAUUCAAAUUUUCUGUAGGGUUUUUAUCAUGAAUGGGUGUUGGACCCUGUCAAAUGCAUUUUCUGCAUCUAUUGAGAAGAUCAUAUGAUUUUUGUCUUUGGCUCUGUUAAUAUAAUGUAUUACAUUUAUUGAUUUGUGUAUGUUGAACCAUCCCUGGGAGAAGCGAACUUGGUCAUGGUGUAUAAUCUUGAUGAUUUGCUGCUGUAUCUUAUUGAGGAUAUUUGCAUCUAUGUUCAUUAAAGAGAUUGGCCUGUAAGUCUCCUUUUUGGUUGGAUCCUUCUCUCGUUUUGGAAUCAGGGUGAUGCUUGCUUCCAGGAAUGAAUUUGGGAGUAUUGCUUCCCUUUUAAUUUCAGUAAAGAGUUUGAAGAGUAGCAGCAUUAGGUCUUUAAAUUUCUUGUAGAAUUCAGCAGUGCAUCCAUCAGGGACAGGGCUUUUCUUUGUUGGUAGAUUAUAAAUUACAUAUUCAAUUUCAUUGGCUGAUAUGGGUUUAUUUAUAAUUUCUAUAUCUUCUUGAUUCAGUUGUUUUUUUUUUUUUUGGUACCAGGGAUUAAACUUGGGACCUUGUGCUUGUGAGGCAGGUGGCGGAACCACUGAGCUAAAUCUCUGGCCCAGUUCAGUUUUGGUAAUUCAUAUGUAUGUAGGAAUCUGUCCAUUUCUUCUGUAUUUUCCAUCGUAUUAGAAUACAGGUUCUUGAAGUAGGUAUUGAUGAUCUUCUGGAUCUCUGCAAGAUCUGUUGUGAUUUCACCCUUUUCAUUCCUAAUUACAUGGAUUUGAGUCUUUUUUUUUUUUUUUUAUAAGAUUGGCUAAAGGUUUGUCAAUUUUAUUUAGUCUUUCAAAGAAUUAGCUCUUCAAUUUGUUGAUUCUUUGUAUUGUUUCCUUAGUCUCCAUUGUAUUAAUUUCUGCUCUGAUUUUUAUAUUUCCUUCCUCCUAUGAGCUUUGGGCUUGACUUGGUUCUUUUUCUAGAAGCUUGAGGUUCAACAUUAGAUUGUUUAUUUGAGCCUGCUCCUUCAGAGCUUUUUUUUUUGUUACCAGGGAUCGAACUCAGGACCUUGUGCUUGUGAGGCAUGCAUGGUGCCACUGAGCUAAAUCCCCAGCCCCUUCAGAGAUUUUUUUAACCACCCUUUGAAUUCCAUUUUAUUUAUUUAUUUAUUUAUUUAGAAUUCUGGUUUUAAAUACUACCAGGGUCAUAGCAAAGAGCCAGGGACUGGGGUUGGGCCAAGGAUAGAACUCACGACCUUGUGCUUGUAAGGUAGGCACAGUGUCACUGAGCUAAAUCCCCAGCCCCUUCAGAGUUUUUUUUUUUAACCAUUCUUUAAAUUCUAUUUUAUUUAUUUAUUUAUUUACUUCUUUGCUUACUUAUUUUGAAUUCCAGUUUUAAACACUACCAGGGUCAUAGCAAAGAGCCAGGGACUGGGAUGGUGUUUAGGGCUGGGGGCUUCUGGGGAAUAUGUGGUGACAAGGGUGAAAGAUGAGGUAUUUGUUGUUUCUGAAUCCUGAGCAACAAGGAUCGGGGCUGUUUGCAGCUCCUGCCCCCUGAGGAUUACCAGCGCUUUCUGGACCUGAGCGUCUCCAUUGCAGAAAACCGCAGUGCUUUCAGCUACCACUGCAAGACCCCGGACUGCAAGGGCUGGUGCUUUUUUGAGGAUGACGUCAAUGAGUUCACCUGUCCCGUGUGUUUCCACAUCAACUGCUUGCUUUGCAAGGCCAUCCACGAGCACAUUAACUGCAAGGAGUAUCAGGAUGACCUGGCACUGCGGGCUCAGAAUGACCUGGCUGCCGGCAGACCACAGAGAUGCUGCAGGGCCCAGGGGACACCAGUGGGGGCUGCCGCUGCCGAGUGAAUGGGAUUCCUUGCCACCCAAGCUGUCAGAACUGCCACUAAGCUGAAGAUGGCUGGGUUCUCUCACUGGCAACCCCCACCCCAUUCAUAGGCAGUAGUGGGCAGGGCUGGACUUGGGGCCCUGGCUUUGGUUUCUGACCUGGGAGACAUCCCUGUGACUGGCCGAGGCUAAGGUCCCCCACUUUGCGGUGGCCUGCUUGUGCCACCACGUGUUCAGGGGCCCUGGCUGCAGUUGCCUAGUCACAUCUGCCCCAGUGCCUUUGCCCUUCUCCCCAGGGGCUUGAUGGCCAGACCUUUCUUCUAUGUGGCUCUUACCUCUGCCAGCCUCUAUCCUUAAACAGCUCUGCCCAGAGGCCUUGCUGGCCCAACCCUCUGCCGGCACCAUGAGACAACACUCCUCCCAACCACACUCCCCGCUGGCCCCCAAGCACAGCAGCCUCACCACUUCCCCAUUGGUUUCCAGGGUAACUUUACUCUGUCUUCACUGUCAGAGGCCUGGAGCCUCUUAUUGCUGCUGUGGACCUGCUCAGAGGGAGACUGGGCUAGGUGAGAGCACAGUGCAAUGGGUAUGGUGCUGUGUCCCAUCUCACCUGUGUAAGCAAAUUAAAAUGGUUUUCCAGGAA
Long non-coding RNA from Heterocephalus glaber (naked mole-rat), 3687 nucleotides. The record is from Ensembl. Lineage: Eukaryota; Metazoa; Chordata; Mammalia; Rodentia; Bathyergidae.